RNAcentral lists this long non-coding RNA (2102 nucleotides) under Homo sapiens (human). Its description in RNAcentral is "non-protein coding lnc-STYX-5:8". Lineage: Eukaryota; Metazoa; Chordata; Mammalia; Primates; Hominidae. The record is from RNAcentral.
GCUUGGGCAUGGCUGGCUGCAGGUCCCCAGCCCUGCCACACGGGGAGGCGGCUGAGGCCCAGCAAGAAUUCAAGCUCCGCGGGGGCAGGCCAGCAGUGCUGGGGGACCCGGCGCACCCUCCGCAGCUGCUGGCCCGGGUGCUAAACCCCUCACUGCCCGGGCCGGCGGUGCCGGCGGGCUGCUCUCAGUGCGGGACCUCGGAGCCUGCGCCCACCCGGAACUAGCCGCGUUCAGCCCUGGUUCCCGCCCCCGCCUCUCCCGCCACACCUCUCCACAAGCAGAGGGAGCUGGCUUCAGCCUCAGCCAGCACAGAGAGGGGCCCCCAUAGCGCAGUGGCGGGCUGAAGGGCUCCUUGAGCAUGGCCAGAGUGGACGCCAAGGCUGAGGAGGCGCCGAGAGCCAGUGAGGGCUGCUAGCAUGUUGUCACCUCUCAAUACAUAAAACUACUGGAGGGUGGUUCCAAGAUGGCCAAAUAGGAACAGCUCCAGUCUACAGCUCCCAGCAUGAGUGAUGCAGAAGACGAAUGAUUUCUGCAUUUCCAACUCAGUAGAGAGCUGACUUUAGAGGGAUCAAGAAUAGCUUGCUGGAUGGAAGGAGGUCAUCUUUAGGAGCUGGCAUGAAUUGCUGUGUUUCAGAACAGUCCACGCAGAGGAAUGAGGAGAAGAGGAUUCAUCCAUUAGCUUCCAUCUCCCAUUGGUGAAAGCUUGCCCUGCAACUCCUCCACACUUCUGGGUUGUAUGACCUGUCCUGCUACAGCCACUAUGGAAAUCUGAACCCAUGUUAGUAGCCACCUCCUCAGCAUGACCUGCAGCUUAUGGGGCAUGCAGUAAGUAGGAGCAAGCCAAGCGCCCUGCGGGCUAGACCUCUGGCACACUGCAGAACCAGCAUGAACCAGGGCAGGUAGUGAACACCGAGAGGGUCCCAUGGUACUGCCCACCAUAGAGACUAAAACAGAGCCUUUGGCAAGAGGCAGGAGGCUCUAGGCAUGAGGUGUUUUCGGUCAUAGCCACACAUUACCUCAGAUUCCAGGAGCAGCUGCUGCAGCAGACCCAGCUAGCCCAGCCUGCAGAUUGUCACCAUGAAGACAGAGAUGAUCCUUCCUCCAGUGAAGAGCAAAACUUCUUUGUGGCCUAUAUGACUGCUUGGUGCUGGGCAAGCUUCCUGAAGAGUCAUCAGCAGCUGGAGACCAUGGCUGACCCCCCAACCCCCUUUCUGGCCUCUAGAUGUUUUAAAAUGGGAACCACAUAAGUGGGUGAUUCCAGGGCAAAAGAAGUCUAUUCUAUUUUGAGUGGGGAAGAACCUAGAGCACCUUGUGAAACUGACAUUGAGGAAAUGGCAUGGUAAAACAGUAAAAAAAAAUUUCUUGUUACAUGGAGUGAGCUGCUUCAUCAAGCUUCUGUUGAAGGCAAUCCUACUGGAACUUUUAGUCAAAUGGAAUUUUUUAAAAAUCUCAUUUUAAGGUUUCCUGGCACUUGUAACUGAAAGAUCCUAACUGACACAGCAGGAAAGCGGAAGGGUGGCAACUGUUCAGUUAGGGCAUAGUUCUCAAGAUUGUCCUUUAGGAACAUGUAUCUUUGUGGGAUCUCAUCUAUCUCAUACAAGGAUUGCAUUGAUGCAUGUAGUGUUCAGUAGCAUGACUGACCAGAGUGGAAGUUCCUGGAAAUUGUAGCUAUCAUCAUGAUGAUGAUGGUGAUUAUGAUUGUUAAAGACUGGGUUAGGAAAUGAUUUUGUAAAUACAAUGAGAAGAAGAGCUUUAAAAUUUGCCUAAAUUUCCCCACUUAAUAUUAAAAAGGAGGUGUGCUAUUAAAUUUUAGGUUUUUCUCAAACUCUCACAGCUAUUUUUGUGGGUUUUUAGUGUAUUUCGAGCCCCCUUUUCCUUCAUCUCUAUUACUUUAUGAUAAUGUGAAGGCUCAUUGUUAUGUGAACGCACUGUUAUGAAACAAUACUCUCAGACAUAAGCAGCUUUCCUUAAACCAAAUCAAAAAUACUAUUUCUAUUGCCCAUGAUUUUCAGAGGACUUCAGAGGACCCUGAAGCAUGGGGUGCUGUGAAUGCCACUAACUAACUUCAUUAAUCACACUUAUAAUGUAAAGGGAGAAUUUUC